CCUCCGGGAUGCAGCAGUGGGGGAUAUUGCACAAUGGGGGAAACCCUGCUGCAGCCACGCCGCGUGUGGGACGAAGGUUUUCGGAUUGUAAACCCCUGUUCUUGGUGAAGAUAAUGACGGUAACCAAGGAGAAAGCCCCGGCUAACUACGUGCCAGCAGCCGCGGUACUCCGUAGGGAGCACGCGUUGUCCGGAUUUACUGGUGGUAACGGGUGCGUAGGCGGUAUUGCAAGUCAGACGUGAAAACCAAAGGCUCAACCUGUGGACUGCGUUUGAAACUGUGGGGCUUGAGUGAAGGAGAGGUAGGCGGAAUUCCCGGUGUAGCGGUGAAAUGCGUAGAGAUCGGGAGGAACACCAGUGGCGAAGGCGGCCUACUGGGCUUUAACUGACGCUGAGGCACGAAAGCAUGGGUAGCAAACAGGAUUAGAUACCCCGGUAGUC
RNAcentral lists this ribosomal RNA (440 nucleotides) under uncultured bacterium. RNAcentral describes it as "partial 16S ribosomal RNA". It matches the Rfam family "Bacterial small subunit ribosomal RNA", at positions 338 to 795 of the family's 1533-position model. The record is from RNAcentral.